RNAcentral lists this ribosomal RNA (694 nucleotides) under uncultured bacterium. Its description in RNAcentral is "bacterial SSU rRNA". It matches the Rfam family "Bacterial small subunit ribosomal RNA", at positions 33 to 773 of the family's 1533-position model. The record is from RNAcentral.
ACGCUGGCGGCAUGCCUAACACAUGCAAGUCGAACGAAGGCUUCGGCCUUAGUGGCGCACGGGUGCGUAACGCGUGGGAAUCUGCCCCUUGGUUCGGAAUAACAGUUGGAAACGACUGCUAAUACCGGAUGAUGACGUAAGUCCAAAGAUUUAUCGCCGAGGGAUGAGCCCGCGUAGGAUUAGGUAGUUGGUGUGGUAAAGGCGCACCAAGCCGACGAUCCUUAGCUGGUCUGAGAGGAUGAUCAGCCACACUGGGACUGAGACACGGCCCAGACUCCUACGGGAGGCAGCAGUGGGGAAUAUUGGACAAUGGGCGAAAGCCUGAUCCAGCAAUGCCGCGUGAGUGAUGAAGGCCUUAGGGUUGUAAAGCUCUUUUACCCGGGAUGAUAAUGACAGUACCGGGAGAAUAAGCUCCGGCUAACUCCGUGCCAGCAGCCGCGGUAAUACGGAGGGAGCUAGCGUUAUUCGGAAUUACUGGGCGUAAAGCGCACGUAGGCGGCUUUGUAAGUAAGAGGUGAAAGCCCAGAGCUCAACUCUGGAAUUGCCUUUUAGACUGCGUCGCUUGAAUCAUGGAGAGGUCAGUGGAAUUCCGAGUGUAGAGGUGAAAUUCGUAGAUAUUCGGAAGAACACCAGUGGCGAAGGCGGCUGACUGGACAUGUAUUGACGCUGAGGUGCGAAAGCGUGGGGAGCAAAC